GACGAACGCUGGCGGCGUGCCUAAUACAUGCAAGUCGAACGAGAGCGACCGGUGCUUGCACUGGUCAAUCUAGUGGCGAACGGGUGAGUAACACGUGGGUAACCUGCCCAUCAGAGGGGGAUAACAUUCGGAAACGGAUGCUAAAACCGCAUAGGUCUUCGAACCGCAUGGUUUGAAGAGGAAAAGAGGCGCAAGCUUCUGCUGAUGGAUGGACCCGCGGUGCAUUAGCUAGUUGGUGAGGUAACGGCUCACCAAGGCCGUGAUGCAUAGCCGACCUGAGGGGGUGAUCGGCCACAUUGGGACUGAGACACGGCCCAAACUCCUACGGGAGGCAGCAGUAGGGAAUCUUCCGCAAUGGACGCAAGUCUGACGGAGCAACGCCGCGUGAGUGAAGAAGGUUUUCGGAUCGUAAAACUCUGUUGUUAGAGAAGAACAAGUGCUAGAGUAACUGUUAGCGCCUUGACGGUAUCUAACCAGAAAGCCACGGCUAACUACGUG
RNAcentral lists this ribosomal RNA (498 nucleotides) under uncultured bacterium. Its description in RNAcentral is "partial 16S ribosomal RNA". It matches the Rfam family "Bacterial small subunit ribosomal RNA", at positions 28 to 507 of the family's 1533-position model. The record is from RNAcentral.